This 468-nucleotide ribosomal RNA is filed under the name uncultured bacterium. RNAcentral's name for it is "partial 16S ribosomal RNA". The stretch from base 56 to 468 matches the Rfam family "Bacterial small subunit ribosomal RNA", at positions 37 to 507 of the family's 1533-position model. The record is from RNAcentral.
GGCGGGGGGGGGGGGGGGGGUUGCCGGCGGCGGGGCGGAGGGGGGGGCCCGCCUGUGGUGGGGUGCUCAAGUGUCGCAGCGGGAAGUAGCACGUGAGUGCCCUGCCGUUGGCGAUCGGAGGACUUCAAGCAAUUUGGGCUAGUCACUGCUCUGUGCUCCUGCUCCAUUGAGGGGGAGUUAUUGUUUCGUCGGUUGGGGACCGACUCGCGGCUGAUCAGCCUGUUGGUGGGGCAGUGGCUUCCCAAGGCUUUGCCGGGUAGCCGGCCUGAGAGGGUGACCGGCCACAUUGGGACUGAGAUACGGCCCAGACUCCUACGGGAGGCAGCAGUGGGGAAUAUUGCACAAUGGGCGGAAGCCUGAUGCAGCAACGCCGCGUGCGGGAUGACGGCCUUCGGGUUGUAAACCGCUUUCGCCUGUGACGAAGCGUGAGUGACGGUAAUGGGUAAAGAAGCACCGGCUAACUACGUG